Physcomitrium patens is the source of this 1706-nucleotide long non-coding RNA. RefSeq lists it as uncharacterized. NCBI's taxonomy places the organism in Eukaryota, Viridiplantae, Streptophyta, Bryopsida, Funariales, Funariaceae. The record is from RefSeq and is a predicted model, not a curated record.
GAGUGUUUGAAUUGGCCCGGUGGGAACGCUCUCUUGAGCCGCAAUCGCGUGCUGGCAGGGAGGAAAUUAAGUAAGGUGGCCGAUGUUGUGAGACGCGUGCCACAGUAGGCCGACAGUACCACAACCGAGAGUCGUCCCGUCUGACUUCAACCUCUCAUGGGGUACCGAUAUCCCUCUCUCAUGGCAGGAUUGCCGCAGAUUUUCUCUUUUCCAAGCUCUCAAUUUGGCCUGUUGUAGGUUUUAGUUGUGAUCGCAUCUUGCGCUUGUUUCAAAACUGGCUUGCCUUCCAGCAGGAAUGCGCAUACUGUGCAGCUUCUUCUUAUCAGCUGCGGUUUUUAUGGCGCUGUACCCCACCAGGUAGAUACAUUCUUCUAUUAAUUACUCAUAACUUAGAAUCCAGCACCGUGCAGCGUCUCUUGGGUUACAACUUCAUCAGACUUGAAGUCAAUACUUGAGCACCCCGGCCUUAUCAAAAAAACAGAAGUCAACACUUGCGUUCUGCAAUGAACGCGAUGAAUUACAACUCAAAGUCCGAAGUUUAGGCAUGUCUGCUGGACCGAUUAGGUCCAGACUGCUGGUAUUCUCGGUCUAUGAUAUCAUCUGGAGCCGAAGAGUAAAGCAGAAAUCAGAAAUUGUGACACAACGAACUGCCAGAUGUUGAGCAAACCACACCUUUGUUGAUUUAAGGUUGGGAGCCGAUGAUGGCAUGCUGAGAAACCUUCCAAGAGACUGCCUGCUAAAGCUGUUUUGUUAGCGGUCGGCACCUUGGGGAUCAGGUUGGCCGUGGGUGUAAGAACUGUGGCUAUCCCUCCAACUGUUGGAGGUGCCCCGGUGGCGCUCGACACAGUAAUAUGGAUGGCACGAGCGUCACUCUUCUCCACGGAUCUCUGUCCAGGUUUCACUGCUGCUGCCUGUAAAGCCUGAAACAGUCGAUUAUGUGAAAAAUCAUUCUAUGAAUCCAACCAAGACUUCGAGGAAUUCAAAGUGAUGAGUUCACGGAAGCAAGUUUGACUGACAUCUUCUCCUGCAACAUCAUCUUGAGCUACAAGGAAGACAUCGGCAGAUGUGGAUGUGAUGUUGGCGGUUAAUAUGCCGGUUAGCUCGCAAUGUUAAAAUGAGUCUGUGCACCUGAGAAGAUCGAUCGACCCUGGAUCGCUUCCGAAGUUCCCUCCAUCUUCAACGAUGCUUCCAAAAGUAACGGGCUUCUACCAGGAACCAGCAUCCAUUUUUAUCUUGGUGAUCUGCUCCCGUUACGCCGCACUUUCCAAACCACUUGAACAGAAACACUGCACAUGAAUCUAUGUAUCCCAAAUUCUGUGUCACAGCCUAAGGACAGAUGCCUAUGAGGCUGGGGAAUUGCAGGUUAUUUGUGGAUUUCUACCGCAAACUGUGAAUAGGUCUGUCGAAGAUUGAUGCAACCCAAUGCAUUUUGUUCCUUAGUGUGAGCCUUAAAGGGAAUUGAAUUGGAUAUGCCCACAUUCUCUAAAUUCCAAAGGUGCCACUUGCCAUUUUGAGAAGAUCUAUAGUCUCGUAUCAUUCUUCAUCCUCUGCUUGGCCACAGCUGAUUAUAUAUCUCCUGAUGUGCUCAGUUUGUUUUACAUUCUUUUUAGAAUAGAUUAGACGAUCAAAGCACCAAAAAAAAACAUGAGUUUUUAUACACCUACAAAUGGCUGAAAUUUAAUAGUUUCUUAAAUAUUAUAGCAAAG